RNAcentral lists this ribosomal RNA (281 nucleotides) under uncultured bacterium. Its description in RNAcentral is "partial 16S ribosomal RNA". It matches the Rfam family "Bacterial small subunit ribosomal RNA", at positions 790 to 1072 of the family's 1533-position model. The record is from RNAcentral.
GUAGUCCACGCCCUAAACGAUGUCAACUGGUUGUUGGGGAUUAAUUUCUUCAGUAACGAAGCUAACGCGUGAAGUUGACCGCCUGGGGAGUACGGCCGCAAGGUUGAAACUCAAAGGAAUUGACGGGACCCGCACAAGCGGUGGAUGAUGUGGUUUAAUCGAUGCAACGCGAAAAACCUUCCCACCUUUGACAUGUACGGAACUUGCCAGAGAUGGCUUGGUGCUCGAAAGAGAACCGUAACACAGGUGCUGCAUGGCUGUCGUCAGCUCGUGUCGUGAGA